GUCUUUUUACCCCAAAAUUCACCCCAUUUAAUUCAUUCUUCCAAUUUCCCAAAAGAAAUCAAGUCUCCUCCCAAAUAUUCUCUCUCUAGAAAGCUUAAAAGAAGAAGAAAAAGAUUCAACAUAGGGUUUCAAGCUAAGAUUUCAAUUACUCCAUUGAAUAUAAGCAAUUGGACUUAAGGGUCCGACAGACAUGGUUCCCAUUUUAGUGGCUAGAUCUUGGACUUUGAUUCUUGCCCGACCUUGGUGAGUCCUCAUGGUUCGAAGACCAAUUACUUUCAUUUUAGUUUCUCUUUUGUAUUUCUUUUUUUGGACAAGAUGUAUGGGCUAGGCCUAAUUUCAUUUGAUUGUAAUAGAUGGCUAUGUUGAUUGGACAUGUGUUUAGACUUUCACUUUUCUAUAAAAUUGUUUUGGAC
RNAcentral lists this long non-coding RNA (413 nucleotides) under Solanum lycopersicum (tomato). RNAcentral describes it as "partial TCONS_00046906". Lineage: Eukaryota; Viridiplantae; Streptophyta; Magnoliopsida; Solanales; Solanaceae. The record is from RNAcentral.